This 1355-nucleotide long non-coding RNA is filed under the name Homo sapiens (human). RNAcentral describes it as "HSALNT0225790". Lineage: Eukaryota; Metazoa; Chordata; Mammalia; Primates; Hominidae. The record is from RNAcentral.
UGUGGUAACUGCUUCUUAUCUUCUGUAUUCUUGAUGCUCUGGCUUUGUGGGCCUUGCUGACUGAGGAGAGACUGCUGUUCCCAGGACUAGCCUGUUUGCCUUGCCCUGCCUUCCCUUUCCCCCAGAAACACGACGAAGCCUCUGGCCUGAGCGUGCCCCUGGCUCCCUUCUGCCUCCUGACCAACACUGGUGCAUCCCUAUGGCCCUGUGGGGCCUGGUGUGCUCCCUUCUCUUGGGAAUUACAAGUAGUAAAGCUUCUUGCGAUGACACCAGGAAGAAGCAAUGUCUCCAUGCUGUCAUGCAUCGCCUGUAUCAAUUAAAAUCCCAUGAGUAAAAAUCGAGACAUCUCUUAAGGUCUCCACUCCUCCAACCAAGCCUCUCCAAAACUGUGACCAGCAUUCUUCACUUCAGUGCUCAUCAACUCGCUAUUGCUCCAAGACUUUCCGUAGCUUCCCACUGUCCAUCAAAUCAUGUCCAGAUCACUUAAAUGUGGAAUUCAGCGUUGCCUAGAACCUAGCCUCAAACUAGUACUGCAGCAUUUUCCCACAGCUCCGUUUACAUUUCCUUCACGCCAGGCCACCAGACUAUUCAUAGUUCCCUGUCUACAUAGUCCCCCGUUUCCAGCCUCUAGGCCUUCGCUCACACUGGACAGUCCUCUUUGAAAAGAACCAUCCACUGCCAUAUUACUAAAUCCCAGCCUUCUUUCAGAUGUCGACUAAGGAAAUGUCAUCUCCUCCAGAUGUUUUAUUAGCCACUUGUCAUAUAUUUCCCUCUGUGGGCCAUCGUGUGUUCUACCGUAUCUCUACUCUGGCAUAGGUCUUUUUUAAAAAUUAUCAUUAUUUCUCCUGAGACAGGGUUUGGCUCCGAUGCCCAGGUCAUAUCCCAUUAGGUUAUAAGCACCUUGAGGACAGGGGCCAUGUCAUGUUAUCCCAUCACCUCUUGGUAUAUAAUUGGUGUUCUGGCAGGUUAUGGAUGAAUAGAUGGAAAGUAGCCCAUGUUCCUUAUUCAGGAUAGUGAAAUGGUGAUGUACAACAACCCAGUGUUUUCCAAAGGUGUGAGAAAGUCUCCCCCAGGUGUGGUAAGGACUCCCUGCCUCCUCACUGGCACUGUGGUGGCAGUCUCUGUGCAAGUUUUGAGCAGGCAUGGGAAGGGGUACAGGUCACAGGUUGGAGCUGCACUUCAUCACCACACUGGUCCUUCCAGGGGCAGUGGGGUGUGACUGGCGGUGCAGGAGCAAGGAGGCUGCCCUUCCUCACAGCAGCUCCACUGCACCAGACUUGGAGAACAGGCAAGUUGGAUGCUAUCCACACUCUCCGAGCCCUGUUCCCCCGCCUGGCCUGAGACCAGCCAUAACC